CUAAAGUGCAUGGACGCUUGUACAGAUGUUCAGUCACAGGUGCAAUUCUGAAGGACACUCUCCACUAACAUACAUGGACUUGAGCGACGUUCAAGAAAAUUCUGUCACGCCAACUUCUGCAGCAUGACUGUUCUCCCGCACUGAAAGACCUCCCUUGUAUGUCAACGUCAAAAAUCGCAGACCAAUCCAAGAUGUGCCGCCUCCACCUACUUGGCAACCUUAUUCUCACCGUAUGAUUCAUUCCAGUGUUUCAUGGCCUUGCAUUGAACGUGUUGUACUUUAACGCUGGUAAAAUUAAGACAUUCAUCAUGCAGUGAAUGAAGCUGGGCAUCCGGACCCUGAAUUUCCCAUCGGGAGUCCCACACAGUCCGCCAAGUAUACAAGGAUGCAAUGGCAGACGAGGGAAAUGAAUGAGCGUCUACUUCAGCCAGUGUGGCAGUCAGCCCAGCUGUCUCAGUCCCAGCGAAUAAGGCA
Molecule: long non-coding RNA, 474 nt
Organism: Ornithodoros turicata
Lineage: Eukaryota; Metazoa; Arthropoda; Arachnida; Ixodida; Argasidae
Exons: 4
Source: RefSeq, a predicted model, not a curated record